GCGGAGGAAAAGAAACCAACAGGGAUUGCCCUAGUAACGGCGAGUGAAGCGGCAACAGCUCAAAUUUGAAAUCUGGCUCCCCUUGGGGGGGUCCGAGUUGUAAUUUGCAGAGGAUGCUUCGGGCAAAGCGCCUUCCGAGUCCCCUGGAAUGGGGCGCCAUAGAGGGUGAGAGCCCCGUACGGUUGGAUGCCAAGCCUGUGUGAAGCUCCUUCAACGAGUCGAGUAGUUUGGGAAUGCUGCUCAAAAUGGGAGGUAAAUGCCUUCUAAAGCUAAAUACUGGCCAGAGACCGAUAGCGCACAAGUAGAGUGAUCGAAAGAUGAAAAGCACUUUGGAAAGAGGGUUAAACAGCACGUGAAAUUGUUGAAAGGGAAGCGCCUGUGGCCAGACUCGGGCGCGGCGGAUCACCCGGCGUUCUCGCCGGUGCACUCCGCCGCAUCUGGGCCAGCAUCGGCUUUGGCGGGGGGAUAAAGGUGCGGGGGAUGUGGCUCCUUCGGGAGUGUUAUAACCCCGUCCGGCAUACCCCCGCAGGGGCCGAGAAACGCGCUC
Molecule: ribosomal RNA, 547 nt
Filed under: Endophragmiella dimorphospora
Lineage: Eukaryota; Fungi; Ascomycota; Sordariomycetes; Sordariales; Helminthosphaeriaceae
Description: eukaryotic LSU rRNA
Rfam family: Eukaryotic large subunit ribosomal RNA
Source: RNAcentral